RNAcentral lists this unclassified non-coding RNA (20 nucleotides) under Dictyostelium discoideum. Lineage: Eukaryota; Evosea; Eumycetozoa; Dictyosteliales; Dictyosteliaceae. The record is from RNAcentral.
AUACUAUUUGGUGGCUUUGA